GGCGUGUUGGAGAAGUUGGUUUAACUCGCCGCCCUUUCAAGGCGGUAUUCGCUGGGUUCAAAUCCCGCACACGUCACCA
RNAcentral lists this transfer RNA (79 nucleotides) under Clostridiales bacterium. RNAcentral's name for it is "tRNA-Glu". It matches the Rfam family "tRNA". Rfam says of the family: Transfer RNA (tRNA) molecules are approximately 80 nucleotides in length. The record is from RNAcentral. Lineage: Bacteria; Bacillati; Bacillota; Clostridia; Eubacteriales.